This 555-nucleotide ribosomal RNA is filed under the name Fusarium oxysporum. RNAcentral describes it as "eukaryotic LSU rRNA". The stretch from base 198 to 351 matches the Rfam family "5.8S ribosomal RNA". The record is from RNAcentral. Lineage: Eukaryota; Fungi; Ascomycota; Sordariomycetes; Hypocreales; Nectriaceae.
AAAAGUCCGUAACAAGGUCUCCGUUGGUGAACCAGCGGAGGGAUCAUUACCGAGUUUACAACUCCCAAACCCCUGUGAACAUACCACUUGUUGCCUCGGCGGAUCAGCCCGCUCCCGGUAAAACGGGACGGCCCGCCAGAGGACCCCUAAACUCUGUUUCUAUAUGUAACUUCUGAGUAAAACCAUAAAUAAAUCAAAACUUUCAACAACGGAUCUCUUGGUUCUGGCAUCGAUGAAGAACGCAGCAAAAUGCGAUAAGUAAUGUGAAUUGCAGAAUUCAGUGAAUCAUCGAAUCUUUGAACGCACAUUGCGCCCGCCAGUAUUCUGGCGGGCAUGCCUGUUCGAGCGUCAUUUCAACCCUCAAGCACAGCUUGGUGUUGGGACUCGCGUUAAUUCGCGUUCCUCAAAUUGAUUGGCGGUCACGUCGAGCUUCCAUAGCGUAGUAGUAAAACCCUCGUUACUGGUAAUCGUCGCGGCCACGCCGUUAAACCCCAACUUCUGAAUGUUGACCUCGGAUCAGGUAGGAAUACCCGCUGAACUUAAGCAUAUCAAUAA